GGGUUGUGAGGUUAAGCGAACAAGCGUACACGGUGGAUGCCCUGGCAGUCAGAGGCGAUGAAGGACGUGCUAAUCUGCGAAAAGCGCCGGUAAGGUGAUAUGAACCGUUAUAACCGGCGAUGUCCGAAUGGGGAAACCCGGUGCACUUCGGUGCAUCAUCGUUAGCUGAAUACAUAGGCUAACGAGGCGAACCGGGGGAACUGAAACAUCUAAGUACCCCGAGGAAAAGAAAUCAACCGAGAUUCCCCCAGUAGCGGCGAGCGAACGGGGAACAGCCCAGAGCCUGAAUCAGCUUGUGUGUCAGUGGAACGGUCUGGAAAGGCCGGCGAUACAGGGUGACAGCCCCGUACACGAAGGCACACAGGCUGUGAGCUCGAUGAGUAGGGCGGGACACGUGAUAUCCUGUCUGAAGAUGGGGGGACCAUCCUCCAAGGCUAAAUACUCCUGACUGACCGAUAGUGAACCAGUACCGUGAGGGAAAGGCGAAAAGAACCCCGGCGAGGGGAGUGAAACAGAACCUGAAACCGUGUACGUACAAGCAGUGGGAGCCUUCGUAAGAGGGUGACUGCGUACCUUUUGUAUAAUGGGUCAGCGACUUAUAUUCUGUAGCAAGGUUAACCGUAUAGGGGAGCCGAAGGGAAACCGAGUCUUAACCGGGCGUUAAGUUGCAGGGUAUAGACCCGAAACCCGGUGAUCUAGCCAUGGGCAGGUUGAAGGUUGGGUAACACUAACUGGAGGACCGAACCGACUAAUGUUGAAAAAUUAGCGGAUGACCUGUGGCUGGGGGUGAAAGGCCAAUCAAACCGGGAGAUAGCUGGUUCUCCCCGAAAGCUAUUUAGGUAGCGCCUCGUGAACUCAUCUCCGGGGGUAGAGCACUGUUUCGGCUAGGGGGCCAUCCCGGCUUACCAACCCGAUGCAAACUGCGAAUACCGGAGAAUGUUAUCACGGGAGACACACGGCGGGUGCUAACGUCCGUCGUGAAGAGGGAAACAACCCAGACCGCCAGCUAAGGUCCCAAAGUCAUGGUUAAGUGGGAAACGAUGUGGGAAGGCCCAGACAGCCAGGAUGUUGGCUUAGAAGCAGCCAUCAUUUAAAGAAAGCGUAAUAGCUCACUGGUCGAGUCGGCCUGCGCGGAAGAUGUAACGGGGCUAAACCAUGCACCGAAGCUGCGGCAGCGACACUUAUGUGUUGUUGGGUAGGGGAGCGUUCUGUAAGCCUGUGAAGGUGUGCUGUGAGGCAUGCUGGAGGUAUCAGAAGUGCGAAUGCUGACAUAAGUAACGAUAAAGCGGGUGAAAAGCCCGCUCGCCGGAAGACCAAGGGUUCCUGUCCAACGUUAAUCGGGGCAGGGUGAGUCGACCCCUAAGGCGAGGCCGAAAGGCGUAGUCGAUGGGAAACAGGUUAAUAUUCCUGUACUUGGUGUUACUGCGAAGGGGGGACGGAGAAGGCUAUGUCGGCCGGGCGACGGUUGUCCCGGUUUAAGCGUGUAGGCUGACUUUCCAGGCAAAUCCGGAAAGUUAAGGCUGAGGCGUGAUGACGAGGCACCACGGUGCUGAAGUGACAAAUGCCCUGCUUCCAGGAAAAGCCUCUAAGCAUCAGGUAACAUCAAAUCGUACCCCAAACCGACACAGGUGGUCAGGUAGAGAAUACCAAGGCGCUUGAGAGAACUCGGGUGAAGGAACUAGGCAAAAUGGUGCCGUAACUUCGGGAGAAGGCACGCUGACAUGUAGGUGAAGCCCCUGCGGGUGGAGCUGAAGUCAGUCGAAGAUACCAGCUGGCUGCAACUGUUUAUUAAAAACACAGCACUGUGCAAACACGAAAGUGGACGUAUACGGUGUGACGCCUGCCCGGUGCCGGAAGGUUAAUUGAUGGGGUUAUCGCAAGAGAAGCUCCUGAUCGAAGCCCCGGUAAACGGCGGCCGUAACUAUAACGGUCCUAAGGUAGCGAAAUUCCUUGUCGGGUAAGUUCCGACCUGCACGAAUGGCGUAAUGAUGGCCAGGCUGUCUCCACCCGAGACUCAGUGAAAUUGAACUCGCUGUGAAGAUGCAGUGUACCCGCGGCAAGACGGAAAGACCCCGUGAACCUUUACUACAGCUUGACACUGAACAUUGAGCCUUGAUGUGUAGGAUAGGUGGGAGGCUUUGAAGCGUGGACGCCAGUCUGCGUGGAGCCAACCUUGAAAUACCACCCUUUAAUGUUUGAUGUUCUAACCUGGCGCCGUAAUCCGGCGUGGGGACAGUGUCUGGUGGGUAGUUUGACUGGGGCGGUCUCCUCCCAAAGUGUAACGGAGGAGCACGAAGGUCAGCUAAUCCUGGUCGGACAUCAGGAGGUUAGUGCAAUGGCAUAAGCUGGCUUGACUGCGAGAGUGACGGCUCGAGCAGGUGCGAAAGCAGGUCAUAGUGAUCCGGUGGUUCUGUAUGGAAGGGCCAUCGCUCAACGGAUAAAAGGUACUCCGGGGAUAACAGGCUGAUACCGCCCAAGAGUUCAUAUCGACGGCGGUGUUUGGCACCUCGAUGUCGGCUCAUCACAUCCUGGGGCUGAAGUAGGUCCCAAGGGUAUGGCUGUUCGCCAUUUAAAGUGGUACGCGAGCUGGGUUUAGAACGUCGUGAGACAGUUCGGUCCCUAUCUGCCGUGGGCGCUGGAGAAUUGAGGGGGGCUGCUCCCAGUACGAGAGGACCGGAGUGGACGCAUCACUGGUGUUCGGGUUGUCAUGCCAAUGGCACUGCCCGGUAGCUAAAUGCGGAAGAGAUAAGUGCUGAAAGCAUCUAAGCACGAAACUUGCCCCGAGAUGAGUUCUCCCUGACUCCUUGAGAGUCCUGAAGGAACGUUGAAGACGACGACGUUGAUAGGCCGGGUGUGUAAGCGCAGCGAUGCGUUGAGCUAACCGGUACUAAUGAACCGUGAGGCUUAACCUUACAACGCCAAAGAAGU
Molecule: ribosomal RNA, 2928 nt
Filed under: Cronobacter sakazakii
Lineage: Bacteria; Pseudomonadati; Pseudomonadota; Gammaproteobacteria; Enterobacterales; Enterobacteriaceae
Description: bacterial LSU rRNA
Rfam family: Bacterial large subunit ribosomal RNA
Source: RNAcentral